Long non-coding RNA from Lolium rigidum, 310 nucleotides. RefSeq lists it as uncharacterized. The transcript is spliced from 4 exons. The record is from RefSeq and is a predicted model, not a curated record. NCBI's taxonomy places the organism in Eukaryota, Viridiplantae, Streptophyta, Magnoliopsida, Poales, Poaceae.
GUUGGCUGACGAUCCCCUUCUUCCUUCAGCAGCUCAGAAAGUAGUAUGACGAUGUUAGUGGGGAUAAAAUGCUAGAGUGACAACGCUGAUGCAGCCUCAGACCACCACAAAAGAUAUAGGAUGAUGAAGAUUGUGAGGAGAGACCGAGACAGAGCAGAGUUGGGUAGAGGAAGGGCGGGGGAUGAAAUGCCACGAUCUAUAAGGUUUCCUAUUAUAGCUCGGAAUCGAUAGUCAUCUGCUGCUUCACAGGUUGAGCUAUGAAUUCCAUCAUUACAGAUAUCUACUACUUUGUUGCUGGGGUUACCAGAGA